UACGUAGGUGGCAAGCGUUGUCCGGAUUUAUUGGGUUUAAAGGGCGUGUAGGCGGCCAACUAAGUCCGACGUGAAAUCCCCAGGCUUAACCUGGGAACUGCGUCGGAUACUGGAUGGCUUGAAUCCGGGAGAGGGAUGCAGAAUUCCAGGUGUAGCGGUGAAAUGCGUAGAUAUCUGGAGGAAUACCGGUGGCGAAGGCGGCAUCCUGGACCGGCAUUGACGCUGAAGCGCGAAAGCUAGGGGAGCAAACGGG
Molecule: ribosomal RNA, 253 nt
Filed under: uncultured bacterium
Lineage: Bacteria
Description: partial 16S ribosomal RNA
Rfam family: Bacterial small subunit ribosomal RNA
Source: RNAcentral